AACUUUCGGCAACGGAUCACUUGGCUCUCGCAUCGAUGAAGAACGCAGCGAAAUGCGAUAAGUAAUCUGAAUUGCAGAAUUCAGUGAAUCAUCGAAUCUUUGAACGCAGCUUGCGCUCCUUGGUAUUCCGAGGAGCAUGCCUGUUUGAGUGUCAUUAAAUUCUCAACUCUCCUGUACUUUGUUGUAAAGGAGAGCUUGGACUGUGGAGGCUUGCUGGCCACUUGUUGAGGUCAGCUCCUCUGAAAUGCAUUAGCGGAACCAUUUGCGAUCUGCCACAAGUGUGAUAAAUUAUCUACACUAGCGAGGGGAUUGCUCUCAGUGUUCAGCUUCUAAUCGUCCUCAUUUUGCUGGACAAUUUCUUGAAUGCUUGACCUCAAAUCAGGUAGGACUACCCGCUGAACUUAAGCAUAUCAAUAAGCGGAGGCU
RNAcentral lists this unclassified non-coding RNA (426 nucleotides) under uncultured Agaricus. RNAcentral's name for it is "sequence contains ITS2". The stretch from base 1 to 154 matches the Rfam family "5.8S ribosomal RNA". Lineage: Eukaryota; Fungi; Basidiomycota; Agaricomycetes; Agaricales; Agaricaceae. The record is from RNAcentral.